Molecule: ribosomal RNA, 962 nt
Filed under: Rhinebothrium reydai
Lineage: Eukaryota; Metazoa; Platyhelminthes; Cestoda; Rhinebothriidea; Rhinebothriidae
Description: 16S ribosomal RNA
Rfam family: Archaeal large subunit ribosomal RNA (bases 642-920)
Source: RNAcentral
UAGUUUUUUAACUAUUAAUACUGUUUUUUCUUAGGUUUAAUGUGCCUUUUGCAUCAUGCUUUUGUGAAUGUUUGGUAAAUAGCCUUUAAUCGAAAAAUUCGGAUUUUGUGACCAACUGUUGUGUUUUAUGUCAGGUAGACGGUUAGAGAUUGGUGACAGGUUGUGAUAAGUUAUUCGGCGAGUUUUAUAUCUAUUUUACAGUUAGAUUUUUAUGUGAUCAUUAAGGCUAGGAUGUCUUUUUGUAGUGUAUACAGGUUGUAUAGUUUUAUUAGGUUAAGGUUAAAAUUACCUAUGAUUUAUGAUAUUGUUAUAAGUUUUUAUACUACAAUAAUACUGUUAUCUAUAAAUACUGUAUAAGUUAACUAUUUGUUACUAUCUAUGUAUAAAUAAGUAAUAAUAUUAUUUAUAUUGUUUCUCAAGAAUCACCCGUCUGUUUAUUAAAAACAUUUCUAUAAUUAAGUUUUUAUAGUAGUACCUGCUCUAUGUUUAAUCAAUAAAUGGCCGCAGUAUCUUGACUGUGCGAAGGUAGCAUAAUUAAUUGCCUUAUAAUUGGGGGCUUGUUUGAAUGGUUUGACGUGGUGAGUGCAAACAUUAUUUAUUUUGUUGAAAUUAUUUUCGAGGGCACAGAAACCUCGAUGUUUAAUUAGACGGAAAGACCCCGGGAUCUUCUUAUUUUGCCUGGGGCAGGUUAUGAUUAUUCAUCCAUAUUGUGACCCUUACUAGAGUUUAAUGGGCCAAGUUACCCCGGGGAUAACAGUAUAAUAGCUUAAUAGAGAUCUUAUCGAUUGGGCUGUUUGUCACCUCGAUGUUGACUUAGGUUUCAGUUUAGGCGCAGUAGUUUAAACUUUAGGUCUGUUCGACCCUGUAACCUCCAUGAGUUGAGUUAAGACCGGUGUAAGCCAGGUCGGUUCUUAUCUAUUGUUCAGGUUUAUUAGUACGAAAGGACCAUAAACUUUUUUAUU